Molecule: long non-coding RNA, 400 nt
Organism: Mytilus trossulus (common blue mussel)
Lineage: Eukaryota; Metazoa; Mollusca; Bivalvia; Mytilida; Mytilidae
Exons: 3
Source: RefSeq, a predicted model, not a curated record
GAUAAGAAAUCUGCUAUGUGUGACAAUGAUGACAGGUCAAGUUAUACAGCAAGUACAUGUAGAACAACCAUUAGGAAGAGAAGAUUGCAAGUUAAAAGGAAUCUUUUUGAAGACAAAAAAGGUAAAAGUAAUAAAGGGAUUCUACUAGAACUUGGACAAAUUGACAAAAUGAAUAUGGUCCAUCAAUAUAUGUAUUAGAUUCAAGUAAAGUGAUGGCAGAUGUUCAAAAACCUAGAACAGAGAUGGACUUUUGCAAAGAUCUGUUAGGUGAUGAGAAUAGAGAAAUAAUAGAUGUCAUCAAAUACCAAACUCUUCUUGGAAAAUAUCCAGGCAACAGAUCGUUUAAAUCUUCAUUUGAUAUUGCUAUGGCUAGGUUACAAACUGCAAUAUCAAAGGAACA